UCUGCCGUGGGCGCUGGAGAACUGAGGGGGGCUGCUCCUAGUACGAGAGGACCGGAGUGGACGCAUCACUGGUGUUCGGGUUGUCAUGCCAAUGGCACUGCCCGGUAGCUAAAUGCGGAAGAGAUAAGUGCUGAAAGCAUCUAAGCACGAAACUUGCCCCGAGAUGAGUUCUCCCUGAGACUUUAGGUCUCCUGAAGGAACGUUGAAGACGACGACGUUGAUAGGCCGGGUGUGUAAGCGCAGCGAUGCGUUGAGCUAACCGGUACUAAUGAACCGUGAGGCUUAACCUU
Molecule: ribosomal RNA, 290 nt
Filed under: Salmonella enterica
Lineage: Bacteria; Pseudomonadati; Pseudomonadota; Gammaproteobacteria; Enterobacterales; Enterobacteriaceae
Description: partial 23S ribosomal RNA
Rfam family: Bacterial large subunit ribosomal RNA
Source: RNAcentral